This 219-nucleotide long non-coding RNA is filed under the name Nicotiana benthamiana. Its description in RNAcentral is "long non-coding RNA (NBEN_LNC038564)". The record is from RNAcentral. Lineage: Eukaryota; Viridiplantae; Streptophyta; Magnoliopsida; Solanales; Solanaceae.
AUUCAUUAUUUCUAAGACGAGGAGAAUAAGAGAUAUUUAGUGAACAUGUAUGUUAGGCCGAUAAACCGCCCAUUAACUGCCCUAUAAGAGCUAACCCGAUACCAAUCCGCCCGAUAUCUUAUCGGGUGGCUAACGGAUUAAUAUAUUUAAAAGCCGAUAAUCGUUAAGCCAAACCGUUAAGAGUAAAAGCCCCCCAAUCCGCCCGAUGAACACCCCUAC